RNAcentral lists this ribosomal RNA (429 nucleotides) under Bacteroidota bacterium. RNAcentral describes it as "Bacteroidetes bacterium partial 16S ribosomal RNA". It matches the Rfam family "Bacterial small subunit ribosomal RNA", at positions 355 to 776 of the family's 1533-position model. The record is from RNAcentral. Lineage: Bacteria; Pseudomonadati; Bacteroidota.
UAGGGAAUCUUCGGCAAUGGGGGGAACCCUGACCGAGCAACGCCGCGUGAGUGAAGAAGGUUUUCGGAUCGUAAAGCUCUGUUGUUAAGGAAGAUCGAGUGUGAGAAUGGAAAGUUCAUACUGUGACGGUACUUAACCAGAAAGGGACGGCUAACUACGUGCCAGCAGCCGCGGUAAUACGUAGGUCCCGAGCGUUGUCCGGAUUUAUUGGGCGUAAAGCGAGCGCAGGCGGUUAGAUAAGUCUGAAGUUAAAGGCAGUGGCUCAACCAUUGUAGGCUUUGGAAACUGUUUAACUUGAGUGCAGAAGGGGAGAGUGGAAUUCCAUGUGUAGCGGUGAAAUGCGUAGAUAUAUGGAGGAACACCGGUGGCGAAAGCGGCUCUCUGGUCUGUAACUGACGCUGAGGCUCGAAAGCGUGGGGAGCGAACAGG